Molecule: ribosomal RNA, 468 nt
Filed under: uncultured bacterium
Lineage: Bacteria
Description: partial 16S ribosomal RNA
Rfam family: Bacterial small subunit ribosomal RNA
Source: RNAcentral
GACGAACGCUGGCGGCGUGCUUAACACAUGCAAGUCGAACGGAAAGGCCCUGCUUUUGUGGGGUGCUCGAGUGGCGAACGGGUGAGUAACACGUGAGUAACCUGCCCUUGACUUUGGGAUAACUUCAGGAAACUGGGGCUAAUACCGGAUAGGAGCUCCUGCUGCAUGGUGGGGGUUGGAAAGUUUCGGCGGUUGGGGAUGGACUCGCGGCUUAUCAGCUUGUUGGUGGGGUAGUGGCUUACCAAGGCUUUGACGGGUAGCCGGCCUGAGAGGGUGACCGGCCACGUUGGGACUGAGAUACGGCCCAGACUCCUACGGGAGGCAGCAGUGGGGAAUAUUGCACAAUGGGCGGAAGCCUGAUGCAGCAACGCCGCGUGCGGGAUGACGGCCUUCGGGUUGUAAACCGCUUUCGCCUGUGACGAAGCGUGAGUGACGGUAAUGGGUAAAGAAGCACCGGCUAACUACGUA